CGGAUAAUGGACAUGGUGAGCAACC
This 25-nucleotide non-coding RNA is filed under the name Cricetulus griseus (Chinese hamster). The record is from RNAcentral. Lineage: Eukaryota; Metazoa; Chordata; Mammalia; Rodentia; Cricetidae.